RNAcentral lists this long non-coding RNA (1006 nucleotides) under Scleropages formosus (Asian bonytongue). Its description in RNAcentral is "lncRNA (ENSSFOG00015026280.1)". Lineage: Eukaryota; Metazoa; Chordata; Actinopteri; Osteoglossiformes; Osteoglossidae. The record is from RNAcentral.
CUGGGAGUUAAAUUCAUUACGCCUCGCGUACAAACAAUCGUUUGAGACGUGCUGAAUCAAAGGGCCAAUUUCAGACGCACAAACACAUCGGGCCGAACUGUAAUUUUAAGUGGGAGGAUUAACAAUUCCUUUUUUCCUCCCCGGUGAAAGUGACAGCCUCAAUUUUACACUCUGCUUCCACUUGAUUCGCCUGAAAAAGGGGCCGCGCUCGUUACCGCGUAUUGCACUUCCAUCUCCGAAUUUGUAAUCUCCUGCGAUGUUUGGGGGGAAAAAUGAAAGGACAGCGGAAAAGCUUCCCCGGAAUAUAUAAAAAAAAAAAAAAAAAAAAAAAAAAAUACUGAAGCAAUUACCGGCAGGACGGCCUUAUCUCGUGGAAAUGGAUAUCUGCUUAAAACAUGUAUCAUGUGCAGCGCGGGGAUUUGUGACACUGGCAGCUUCCAGCCAAGCGCGCGUCUCGCAGGCGUGUCUACAGGGUACUUACACGGCGCGCAAUCUGCUUAGUCCGAGCAGGCCCGCUGGAAGGGGGAAAACGAAACGCCGACGGUUCGUCGCUUUAGAGCUUUAUCGGAAGAAACCAGCACUUGGUUCUCAGACUAUCUGCUGACACAAGUGUGUCGCUGCGCUCCGCACUGUGUUGCGCUGCCAGAGUGAUGGACACCGAUGGACACCGAUGGACACCGAUGGACAGCUGAACACCAAGAAGGUGAACCGCCCGGCAGCUUGGGCGUCAGAGCAAAGAUCUGAAAAAUGACCCGGGUUUUCCUGAUCUACAGCAAUCGCAGUGAAAUGAAAGCGAAACGCUGGAGAUCCGGACACGAAAUAUCUGCGGGACACGGGGACAAUCGAGAGCAAAGUGUCUCCAUCAGUCUGCAUUCCUUCUCAUCGCCUCGCAGCUCUCACGGACACACCUUGACGGCGCGGCGCUUCUGAGCAGAUGGGCGCUGUUUUUUUAUUCUUUAAAUUUUUAAUUUUUUUUCGGUCAGAUCAGAGACCCCCCCCUCCAUGC